GUACACGUCGGUGCACUGAAUCCUCCCCAUAUAAAAGUACCCUAUUUUUUAUUUAGGAAGAAAAACAAUCGGUGAUUUUUAUAAUUACAUGCGUUCUCUUUUUCACUCUCCAUAUUUUGCACCCAACUCGCAUCCACGAUUAAUUUCCUCGGAUUAUCCUCUCCCACACCACGGCCCUCAUUUACGUAUCUCCAUCGCUAUUCCGAUCUCCACCUCCGUAUAAUUACCUCAUUUCUCAAGGAUUUUAAGGUCAAACGUUUUGAUGCAUAAUUUGAAUGGGUUCUGUUAAUAUCUGGCACUCAGACUAGAUCUUUGAUCACUUGAAAUCACAAAUGCUGUGCAGGUAUGCUCUAAAUGUAUUUGCAUAACCUAUCUUGCUUGUUUAUAACAUGUUAAUACUUUGAAUGUUGAAAGCUGUGUUUUCUUUGGAGAUUGGGUUCUUCACACAGUCAGACACAAAUAUGCUCCACACAAAGUCAAGAAUUGGAAAGAGGAAUCCAAGGAGGAUAAGGCUAUAAUCACAGAUUCAUUGAGGGGGAGUUAUAAAAUAUCUUGCUAUGUUCAGGUUUUGUGUAAUUAACUGACUUUUUUUGUUCUUCUUAUGCUACACUAUGCUUGGGUUCGACUAGACGGACCCGGAUCUGAUGAGGUACAUUGAAGAGAAGAUGGCCAAGUUGUAUAGAUCUUAGAGAAGUAGGUUGUACAAACUUCAAGAAGCGUGCUAUGACCCUGCAUAUGCCGAAGCACACCCUCCCGAUGAGGUCCUGGUUGGUAAUAGAUAAAUAAAUGAAUGGUUAUGUGUUGGUUUCUCUGUUUAUUGGGCAUGAGAAAAUUUGCACUGGAAUCUAUUAUCUAUCCUUCUCUUUGUUCUACGGCUACAAUCCAGCUUUAUGUUCUCCAUUAGUUUGAUUGUUUUAUACAUAUAUAAUUAGAAUAGCCUGGAUGUAGGAUAAAGUUCUUGAUUUUACAUAAGGUGAUUUAUUUGUGAAAUGAAUUGAAAAUUCCUGCAGAAGUGUCCAUUUCUUACUUUUUCUGUUGGAAAUUCAUUGUAGCAGUGUAGUUUAUCUUGACUGAUGAAAGUGCCUGCAUAGUUAACAUCUUUGGCUUGGAAGUGUGAAACCUUUGUUAUCGGUUUUCCUAUAUAUUUUGAGUCGCUAUGCUGUCUACGACUGAUUUUUAAACAUGUCUUUUCAUGCCUUUCCAAGCUUAUUGAGUCAUAAAACCAUGCAUGUUGAUCUUAUUAAGUUAUAUAUCGGGCAGAGGAAUUCACUGUUUGUGCUAUGGUCCUCAGAGGUAGACCAAAUUUCUUCCCCAAGUGUUAUAUCUACUAGUUCCUAAACGACAGAACACAAAUGGUUGAGUUGGCAAGCACAAUGGAGAAACUUAUAGGCUAUGAUGCACGGAAACGCGAAAAUGCCCGCGUAUCCCGUAUCGAAACGGGAAACGGGUACGAAACGCGUCGGAAACGCGUAUCCUAAUUUGGAUACGUACGUAUCCGAAUAGGAUACGUACGUAUCCGAAUAGGAUACGUGAGAAUGUAAAUACAUCGGAUACGUGGGGGUAAUUCCGACUUUUUACCCCAAAAAAUAGAAAAAAAAAAAAAAUCCUAAACCAGAUCGAGAGAGAGGGAAGACAAGUCGCAGACCAGAUCGAGAGA
Long non-coding RNA from Rosa rugosa (rugosa rose), 1657 nucleotides. RefSeq lists it as uncharacterized. The record is from RefSeq and is a predicted model, not a curated record. The transcript has 2 exons. NCBI's taxonomy places the organism in Eukaryota, Viridiplantae, Streptophyta, Magnoliopsida, Rosales, Rosaceae.